Molecule: unclassified non-coding RNA, 251 nt
Filed under: Kellermania pseudoyuccigena
Lineage: Eukaryota; Fungi; Ascomycota; Dothideomycetes; Botryosphaeriales; Planistromellaceae
Description: partial contains 5.8S ribosomal RNA, internal transcribed spacer 2, and large subunit ribosomal RNA
Source: RNAcentral
CGCACAUUGCGCCCCUUGGUAUUCCGGGGGGCAUGCCUGUUCGAGCGUCAUUACAACCCUCAAGCUCUGCUUGGUAUUGGGAUAUCGCCCCCUGGGGCGUUCCCGAAAAGUAGCGGCGAAGCAACCGAACCCUCUGGCGCAGUGACGAUUUAACUCUCGCUACGAGUCGUGUUCGGGGGCCUCGGCCGGACAACCCCCUAAAUUUUCUAAAGGUUGACCUCGGAUCAGGCAGGGAUACCCGCUGAACUUAA